GGCUCAGAACGAACGUUGGCGGCGUGGAUUAGGCAUGCAAGUCGCGGGAAUCCCAGCAAUGGGGGAACCGGCGUAAGGGGCAGUAAGGCGUGGGUACCUACCCUGGGGUCCGGGAUAGCCGUCCGAGAGGGCGGGUAAUACCGGAUGACCUCGGGAGAGCAAAGCUCCGGCGCCCUGGGAGGGGCCCACGUGAUAUUAGCUGGUUGGUGAGGUGACGGCUCACCAAGGCGGAGAUGUCUAGCGGGUGUGAGAGCACGACCCGCGCCACUCGCACUGAGACACUGGCGAGACACCUACGGGUGGCUGCAGUCGAGGAUCUUCGGCAAUGCGCGCAAGCGCGACCGAGCGACGCCGCGUGGGCGAUGAAGGCCUUCGGGUUGUAAAGCCCUGUCGAGGGGGAGAAAAGGGUAAAACUUUGAUCUAUCCCUGGAGGAAGCUCGGGCUAAGUUCGUGCCAGCAGCCGCGGUAAGACGAACCUAGCGAACGUUGUUCGGAAUCACUGGGCUUAAAGGGCGCGUAGGCGGGCUGCCAAGUUUGGGGUGAAAUCCUCCGGCUCAACCGGGGAAGUGCCUUGAAUACUGGCGGUCUGGAGGGAGGUAGGGGCGUGCGGAACUAACGGUGGAGCGGUGAAAUGCGUUGAUAUCGUUAGGAACUCCGGUGGCGAAGGCGGCACGCUGGACCUUUUCUGACGCUGAGGCGCGAAAGCCAGGGGAGCGAACGGGAUUAGAUACCCCGGUAGUCCUGGCCCUAAACGUUGAGAACUAGGUAGUAGGCCGGACAUGGGCUUACUGCCGGAGCAAAAGUGCUAAGUUCUCCGCCUGGGGAGUAUGGUCGCAAGGCUGAAACUCAAAU
This 852-nucleotide ribosomal RNA is filed under the name uncultured bacterium. Its description in RNAcentral is "bacterial SSU rRNA". It matches the Rfam family "Bacterial small subunit ribosomal RNA", at positions 21 to 906 of the family's 1533-position model. The record is from RNAcentral.